CUCCCGUGUCCUCUGUCCUGCUGGUCUCUGAGUGUCUGUCCCAGGGAGAGAUGAGGGUGUCCUGCUCCUCUGAGGGAGGGGACAGUCCUCAGUACAGCUGGACUCUGGAUGGACGCACACUGACAGAUGCUGAGCUCCUUCCUGGAAAUAUUAAGACUAACAUCAUCACUCUGAAACAGCACGUCUCAGGACAUCUGGUCUGCUCAGUCGAAAACCUCGUUAGUAAAGUCUCCAAAGAACAGAGGAUAUCUACCUGUGGCUUCAUUUUCAUCAACUGCACUUCAGUCAAUGGGACACAAGUAUCAGGGUGGGUGUAUGAAGCCAAUAACACCCUGUGCAUUGAAUCAACAAGUGAACCUACCACAACCACACAAACUGCAGUGGGAAAUUUGCCACUGAUCAGUGGUGUUCUCUCAACACUUAUAAUUUUCUUAGUUGUGGUUGGAACAGCAAUCUGUGCUCAACGGAAAAAGCAAAACAGCAAAGCAAAAGAGGAAGAAAAUGAUCAGGAAGAAAUCUUUGCUGAUCUCAGGGUCGUGAAACGGCAAGCGAAACAACUGGAGAAAAGAGCGGAG
Oreochromis aureus is the source of this 575-nucleotide long non-coding RNA. NCBI's taxonomy places the organism in Eukaryota, Metazoa, Chordata, Actinopteri, Cichliformes, Cichlidae. The record is from Ensembl.